UUUAUUCGUCCAAAAUAAUAAGAAUGCUUCUCUGCCCUAUUUGGACACAUAUUUUUUGGAACGCUUACUCAGGCCACGCCCAGCAACAGGAAUUUGGGUUUGCUGGUUGGUACUUGAUCUCGCCCCCUCCUAACAGGACAGUGCGAAACUUUGAGGAGUCUCUGGAGUUCUGACCCAAGAAGCCUCUCCCCAGCCGAUAAAAGGAGAUCUCCAUGGUGACCGAGAUUGCUUGGAAUGCUGGGAGGGAAUGGAAUUUCUGAGGCUCUUGUCCUGUUCAACACUCUCCAGGUACCUGACAAAGAAGGUGCCAGUUAUGUAUUGGGCAAAAGGGGCCAAUGAUCGGACACAUUCCGGGCAUAGCUGAGAAUCGCCUCCUCCUCCCGGUCAACGCCUCCUCCUCCCGGUCAACGCCAAAGUUCAGCUCGAGGAGAAGUUGGAGGCUUUAUACAGAGGGAUCGUCAGCAGAUUAUCUGAGAUACACGAAGAAUCAGAAGAAUCCCAUCCAGGAGUAAAAUGAUGAAGCGGCGAUAAUGGUCUGACAUCAAUAUUACAGCAGGAGGAGGAUAACUACAGAUGUGAUCAUCACAAGGAGGAACGUUGUGUGAAAUGACCGAGACCAUUUAUGUGUCAAAAGUAAAGGGCAAAGGGUUUAUAGGCCGAAAAGUGGAGCAAGACCAGACACAAAGCUGCUGGAAAGCCGAGGAACCAGCCCCAGCCCUCUGGAUGUGAAGACAAAUUCGACUCCGAAUAAUGUCCCUCGCAUCUUCACAGGCUUCAAUAUGAAGAUCAAAAACAUCACAAGAGAAGCUGUGGGGCUCCUGACUAGCGGAGAGUAGAGUUACGCUUUCCCUGCACCCUGACUACCCUUCUACUUACCACCAUCCCCACCAAUAACCACAGACUCUUCGUAUUGUGCAAAGGCCACAGGGGACCAACCGUUUUAUUAACAAAAUAACAAUUAUAUAACAUUUUACUCUUAACCCCUUAAUGACCAAGCCCAUUUUCACCUCAAGGACCAGGCCAAUUUUUUUUUUUUGCGUCUUCGUUUUUUUCCUCCUUGCCUGUUUUUUCCAUCUACAGACCCAUAUAAGGGCUUGUUUUUUGCGUGACCAAUUGUACUUUGUAAUGAAACCUCUCAUUUUACCAUAAAAUGUGCGGCGAACCCCCCCCCCAAAAAAAUUUUUAGGGAAGAAAAUUUAAAUGGAAACCAAAAUUUUGCACAUUUUGGAGGGUUUUGUUUUCACACCGUACACUUUACGGUAAAAAUGACACGUGUUCUUUAUUCUGUGGGUCAAUACGAUUAAAAUGAUACCCAUGGGUAGAUACUUUUAUAUUUCUGUACCGCUUAAAAAAAAUCUAAAACUUUUUGUACAAAAUCAGUAAUCUAAAAUCGCCCUAUUUUAGCACCUAUAACUUUUUCAUUUUUCCGUAUAUAGGGCGGUAUGAGGGCUCAUUUUUAGCGCCGUCAUCUGUACUUUUUUUUAGAUACCACAUUUGCAUAUAUAAAACUUUUAGAUCAUUUUUUAUAAAUUUUUUUUUAAUAAAAUGUGUGACAAAAAAGCAGCAUUUUUGGAAUUUUAAUUUUUUUUACGUUUACGC
This is a long non-coding RNA of Hyla sarda, 1599 nucleotides long. RefSeq lists it as uncharacterized. NCBI's taxonomy places the organism in Eukaryota, Metazoa, Chordata, Amphibia, Anura, Hylidae. The transcript is spliced from 3 exons. The record is from RefSeq and is a predicted model, not a curated record.